This 460-nucleotide ribosomal RNA is filed under the name uncultured bacterium. Its description in RNAcentral is "partial 16S ribosomal RNA". It matches the Rfam family "Bacterial small subunit ribosomal RNA", at positions 338 to 795 of the family's 1533-position model. The record is from RNAcentral.
CCUACGGGAGGCAGCAGUGAGGAAUAUUGGUCAAUGGACGAGAGUCUGAACCAGCCAAGUAGCGUGAAGGAUGACUGCCCUAUGGGUUGUAAACUUCUUUUAUAUGGGAAUAAAAUGUUCCACGUGUGGGAUUUUGUAUGUACCAUAUGAAUAAGGAUUGGCUAACUCCGUGCCAGCAGCCGCGGUAAUACGGAGGAUCCGAGCGUUAUCCGGAUUUAUUGGGUUUAAAGGGAGCGUAGGUGGAUUGUUAAGUCAGUUGUGAAAGUUUGCGGCUCAACCGUAAAAUUGCAGUUGAAACUGGCAGUCUUGAGUACAGUAGAGGUGUGCGGAAUUCGUGGUGUAGCGGUGAAAUGCUUAGAUAUCACGAAGAACUCCGAUUGCGAAGGCAGUUCACUGGACUGCAACUGACACUGAGGCUCGAAAGUGUGGGUAUCAAACAGGAUUAGAUACCCGAGUAGUC